CCCUUAGAUGUUCUGGGCCGCACGCGUGCUACACUGAGUGGAUCAGCGGGUCAGGUUGCGCGAAAGUGUUUCCUAAUCUUUAAAUCCGCUCGUGAUGGGGAUUGACGGUUGCAAUUUUUGAUCUUGAACGAGGAAUUCCUAGUAAGCGCGAGUCAUCAGCUCGCGUUGAUUACGUCCCUGCCCUUUGUACACACCGCCCGUCGCUACUACCGAUUGAAUGGUUUAGUGAGGACUCCUGAUUGGCGCCGCCGCCCCGGCAACGGAGCAGCGGACUGCCGAAAAGUUGUUCAAACUUGAUCAUUUAGAGGAAGUAAAAGUCGUAACA
RNAcentral lists this ribosomal RNA (325 nucleotides) under uncultured eukaryote. RNAcentral's name for it is "partial 18S ribosomal RNA". It matches the Rfam family "Eukaryotic small subunit ribosomal RNA", at positions 1470 to 1796 of the family's 1831-position model. The record is from RNAcentral.